RNAcentral lists this long non-coding RNA (1383 nucleotides) under Trifolium pratense (red clover). RNAcentral describes it as "long non-coding RNA (TPRA_LNC008357)". The record is from RNAcentral. Lineage: Eukaryota; Viridiplantae; Streptophyta; Magnoliopsida; Fabales; Fabaceae.
UCCAUCCAUAUGACACCAAGCUGAAAACAUUCUCCAAACCACUCAAAGUAAACUAUAGAAGAUGAACUUAAAUACCAAUUAAUACACAUAAAUAAGCCAAAAGCAUAAUUAGAAUACAAAGCUAAGCAGAAUGAAUAUAUCCAUAAUGCUUUGUGUGCUUAUUAUUUUUAGUUAUAUUAUACACAUAUGUUGAUUUAGCCAAAGAGAUGGUGUUUCUUCUUUCCAUGAGCUUCCUCAUCUUCCUCCUUUGAUUCCUUUUUCUCAUGAUGUUCAUGAAAGGCAAAUCCACCAGAUCCAACUGCAGCUGCUGCUGCAACCUCUUCUUCUAUCUUGUGCCUAUGAGCAUUUUCUGGAUCUUUCUCUGACUCAUGCUUCUCAUACUACAUAAAACCAAUUAAUUUCAGCAAAUUAGCAAAACCAAUUACUUUCGAAUUUUCAACUUUAGUUUAAAAAGGUCAAAAUUCUAUACAUAUUGUGCGACAUUUGUCCUACCAACAUUCAAUCAAAUUUGAACCGUACAAUCAAGAAUAUUACGUUGACAUUUCAACUUUGUAUUUUGGAUUUAAUUUACAAAAAUUAAGUGUAAAUUGUCCAAUGAUCAGAUUUGCUUACACAAAGUUCGACCAAUUGUGUGUAGUCGUCUCUAAUAGUAGGGUGACUGAUCUAGUUUUGAUUAUGCAAUUUUUAGAGUCAUAUUACAAGUUUGUCCAUAAAUCAUUCAAGCUGAGCUCGAGUAUCUGUCCACUUAUUAGUAAAUUUGUGUCGUACCAUUCAAAUAUGGCUCAAAUUUUGAGAAAUCAAUUCUUUACUAUUUAAUUAAAUAGCAAUUAGGAGUAUUGACAAUAAAGUUAAAGAAAAAUUACCAGAGCAAAACCACCAGCAGCUGCAGUACCAAACUCUCCAAGGUGUUCAAGUUUCUUGUGGUGUUUCUCCUCCUUCUUAUAAUCAACAUCAUCGUCAUCACGACGAUUAGUAUCCUCGCCAUAACCACCACCGGUGGUUGUUUUGGUGUCUGAGUCACCAUAACCACCACCGUACCCACCAGCGGNGAAUCACCAUAUCCACCACCGUAUCCACCACCGGUGGUGGUUUUAGUGUUUGAGUCACCAUAACCACCACCGUAUCCACCACCGGUGGUUGUUUUGUUGUCAGAGUCACCAUAGCCACUACCAUAACCACCACCAGUUGUAGUUUUGGUGUCAGAGUAUCCUCCACCACCACCAUAGCCACCAGAUGUUUCGUCAUUCGAGUAAUUCGAUGUUUUCUUAUUGUAACCAGUUUCAUAUUCACCACCAGAUGUCUCAUUACCAUAUGAUGAUGGUUUAUUGUAACCACCAGCAGAUGUUUCAUCAUUGGAAUAAUUAGUGGAUUUUUUGUAACCAG